ACCUACCGCUGCCAACCUAUCUAUCACUGCUAAUCUAUCACUGCUAAUCUAUCACUGCUAAUCUAUCACUGCUAAUCUAUUGCCGCCAACCUACCUACCACUGCCAACCUACCUACCGCUGCCAACCUAUCUAUCGCUGCCAAUCUAUAUAGGGUAAAUCAUGGUCCCAUUUGGUCCCAUUUUGUAAAAUGGGAUCAAAUGGGACCAGAAUCACUAAUUUAUUAGUAAAACAUGAUCUGGGACUAGAUUUAUAAUAUAAACAGUGUAAAGUGACUAAUUUGCUAAACACUAUAUGGGACCAGGACUAAGAUAUCUAAUAAUGGGACUGAGGAAAAAUUUGGUCCCAGUCCCAUGCAUGGUCACAUGGCCAGU
This 372-nucleotide small RNA is filed under the name Histoplasma capsulatum. RNAcentral describes it as "hypothetical RNA". RNAcentral also lists the same sequence under 1 other name. Lineage: Eukaryota; Fungi; Ascomycota; Eurotiomycetes; Onygenales; Ajellomycetaceae. The record is from RNAcentral.